UAAAUUCAGAUGGUAUUGUUGCAGAUGACCCAGCGCCUUUUAUUGAUGGUGUCCGUAUCAACAGCCCACACUACUUGUGCAAGCUCGUCCUCAAUGAAAACAGUGCACAUCACUACACAUUGGUUAUUUCACAGUAUGAGAAGACAAACACCAUUUUCUACACCUUGCGUGCAUAUGCAACUUGCCCCUUCACAUUGGCCAAGAUAGGUAGCCCCUACAAACACACACAGAAGGUUUCAGAUGGUCAGUGGAAGGGUGUGACCGCAGGAGGCUGUGGUAACCAUC
Non-coding RNA from Zootermopsis nevadensis, 285 nucleotides. NCBI's taxonomy places the organism in Eukaryota, Metazoa, Arthropoda, Insecta, Blattodea, Termopsidae. The record is from RefSeq and is a predicted model, not a curated record.